UUGCCGGCUGCCCCGGGGGGAGCUGUGGCGGGCCUGCGGGGCUGGUGCUCUCUGGGUGUCUCGGGUUUUGCUUUGGAAUUCCAAACCCUUUCCCCGUGCAGGGUUAUGAGGCAAAGACUGCUUUAACUUGGUUUUUUUGUGCUGCGUUAAUGCUUUUUGCUCGUUCUGUGUCAAUUUCCAGCCUUGCUCGUGGUUUCCCCUGGUGCUGGCAGAGUGGAGGCGAGUUGUGCUUUCUGCUGGGAGAGAGAACGGCCUUGGGAAGCUGCUCCAUGACCCACAGCUGUGCCGAGCCUUGGAGUCUGUCCAGCACCCUUUCUGCUGUUGGGAGAGCACAAGGCAGAUGGAGAGGAUCCCCAGGCAUCUGCAGGCACAAGGGACUCAUACAACUGUGAUUUUCCUACAGCCCUCGUAAAAGGGACUUCCAGGAUACUCUUGGGAAUGUGCCAGCUCUCCUGCUGGAGCUUUUCUAUGGAAUAUUUGAACACAAAGGGUAGAACUAAAGUCAGGUCUGUUCUGGA
Chiroxiphia lanceolata (lance-tailed manakin) is the source of this 518-nucleotide long non-coding RNA. RefSeq lists it as uncharacterized. The transcript is spliced from 2 exons. NCBI's taxonomy places the organism in Eukaryota, Metazoa, Chordata, Aves, Passeriformes, Pipridae. The record is from RefSeq and is a predicted model, not a curated record.